GUACUCGCCUUGGCAGCACAUACACUAAAGUUGCAGUGAUACAGAGAAGAUUAGCAUGGCCCGCCCCUCUGCAAGGAUGACAUGCAAAUUUGUGAAGCAUUCCAUAUCUUU
Small nuclear RNA from Chlorocebus sabaeus (green monkey), 111 nucleotides. The record is from Ensembl. NCBI's taxonomy places the organism in Eukaryota, Metazoa, Chordata, Mammalia, Primates, Cercopithecidae.